AUGUUUGUCCAGUAACUUCUUUGCGCUAUUGGCUUUAAUUAUCAAGACAUAGACAGUUCUAUGCUUCUAAGGUCGUGUUUUAUGGUUAUAGGUGCUAUAAGGUUAGCUACAGACUCGGAGAGAUGGACCUCAGCAUCUGAUGUUCAACCAUUCAAAGUUUCUACUGCAUACAGAGUAUCAUUCUUAGGUCCUCAAUUGUCUAUUCUCAGGGGCAGUAGCAAGGUGAUUAGUUUAUGGAGCUUUAACUAGUAGAGCAUUCUCUUCCUUUCAGGGGCAGCAUUGACUUUCGAACUCUAUUUAACAUGAACGGUAAAUCUGAUAUCAAUGGAUUUAACUCUAUUUAAUAGCAGUGGUUUAACUUGUUUAGUCUUAUAAGUGGCAUAAAAUCAAUAGUAAUCUUUUUGUCAUUUGGGCAUGCAAUGUUAGAUAAAAUGAGGUCUGAUGAAUUGGUCUUGUUUGCUUCUCUGGCAGGCUUUUAGAAAUGUGUUGGAUAUGUACUUUGGAGUAAAUCUUGAUGUACGUAAAGUGGAAUUGUUAAAGGUGGUUAUCAGUGGUCAGGAGGUAAAGACCAAUAGUAUGUAUUCAACUAUUCACAUUAUGUACUAUGUGCCUUAAUUUCAAAUAAGGUUGUUCUUUAUAUUUGCAAGUUUCUGAAAAAAUAAUCUUGUAUAAAGUUUCAUUUUUAGGGGUCGGUUCGACGCUUUGUAGAGGUUCCACUUCAGGGGUCCUUCAUGGCAACAUUAACUCUUGGCGCGUAAGUCUUUGACUUGAGAUGUAUUUCUUUCUUACUGUUUUUUCUUCUUCUAUAGAAAUAGUGUGUCAAUUAUGAACUUUGAACAAAUUACCUGCAAGAAAAUGGGCCACAUGAUGAUAAGGUGUUCAUAUGCAAUUUAUAUUUCUUGUUAAGAUAUGCUUACACAAUUAGUACAUGAAAUUUGUUCUGCUUUCUUUCUUCUCGUUAUUGCUUACAUGAAUAAGAAUGAUUUUUAAUGAGAGACUACAAUUCAUAUAUUUUGUAGGUAAUUCCAUGAUACUUCAUGAGUGUGGCUGAAUUUGAACAACAAGGCAAUGUAGCUAAGGAAAAAGAUAAGAUUUACUGAUAUGUUGUUCGAGUCGACGGUGGUGACGACAUAACAAUGGUGCAACUGAAGGUAAAUAGUUCUGUCAGACUGCAGACUAUUUUUUCAUGUUACUGGUAGUUCUGAGUUCCUCUGUUUAUAUACUAUUGUCUGUUUUAUGUCACACAAAGAGGGCUUGUCCUCCUGGAUGUUGAUAGUAGAAGAAACCUGACGAUGCAACCCCUGGUUGCGUGCUGAUCAGGAGUUGUAAUACUUUUAUCUUAAUUAUCAAUAAAUUUUAACUUUCAUAAUAUUAUAGAAGAUAUCAUUGUAUUUUUGGA
RNAcentral lists this long non-coding RNA (1399 nucleotides) under Aquilegia coerulea. Its description in RNAcentral is "long non-coding RNA (ACOE_LNC001168)". The record is from RNAcentral. Lineage: Eukaryota; Viridiplantae; Streptophyta; Magnoliopsida; Ranunculales; Ranunculaceae.